AACGAACGCUGGCGGCAGGCCUAACACAUGCAAGUCGAACGCUGUAGCAAUACAGAGUGGCAGACGGGUGAGUAACGCGUGGAACCUUCCCAAUGGUACGGAAUAGCCCAGGGAAACUUGGGGUAAUACCGUAUACGCCCCUAGGGGGAAAGAUUUAUCGCCAUUGGAUGGGCCCGCGUCGGAUUAGCUAGUUGGUGGGGUAACGGCCUACCAAGGCGACGAUCCGUAGCUGGUCUGAGAGGAUGAUCAGCCACACUGGGACUGAGACACGGCCCAGACUACUACGGGAGGCAGCAGUGGGGAAUAUUGGACAAUGGGCGCAAGCCUGGUCCAGCCAUGCCGCGUGAGUGACGAAGGUCUUCGGAUUGUAAAGCUCUUUUGGCGGGGACGAUAAUGACGGUACCCGCAGAAUAAGCCCCGGCUAACUUCGUGCCAGCAGCCGCAGUAA
RNAcentral lists this ribosomal RNA (448 nucleotides) under uncultured bacterium. RNAcentral describes it as "partial 16S ribosomal RNA". It matches the Rfam family "Bacterial small subunit ribosomal RNA", at positions 29 to 523 of the family's 1533-position model. The record is from RNAcentral.